GGGCUCAUAGAUCAACUGGAAGAUCGCUUGCUUUGCAAGCAAGAGGCUGGGGGUUCGAGUCCCCCUGAGUCCA
This 73-nucleotide transfer RNA is filed under the name Candidatus Aenigmatarchaeota archaeon. Its description in RNAcentral is "tRNA-Ala". It matches the Rfam family "tRNA". Rfam says of the family: Transfer RNA (tRNA) molecules are approximately 80 nucleotides in length. Their secondary structure includes four short double-helical elements and three loops (D, anti-codon, and T loops). The record is from RNAcentral. Lineage: Archaea; Nanobdellati; Candidatus Aenigmatarchaeota.